CUCUUUCUCGAUUCAGUGGAUGGUGGUGCAUGGCCGUUCUUAGUUGGUGGAGUGAUCUGUCUGGUUAAUUCCGAUAACGAACGAGACUCUCCCCUGCUAACUAGUCGGUUGGAUCUUGAUCAGUGGGUUGAGUGCCGAGUAACUCUCGCUGUGCGUGGUGUGCGUCGCGUUCCUCACGGUUCGUUGCGUGCUCAUGUGUGGCGUUGGAUGCCUUGGAUCACACUGCACCCCAAGUCCGCCGCUUUGCUAUAACUCUUCUUAGAGGGAUUCACGGCACUGAAGCCGUAAGAGACUGAGAGCAAUAACAGGUCUGUGAUGCCCUUAGAUGCUCUGGGCCGCACGCGCGCUACAAUGCCGGGCACAGCAGGUGUUUCUCCUGCUCCGACAGGAGCGGGUAACCCUCUGAAAGCCAGUGUUCUUGCAAGUGCUUCCUCCCUCGUGGAGUUGCACAGAGGCGUGCUUGGGCCUGGGACUUGCAAUUCUUUCCCACCAACGAGGAAUGCCUAGUAGCGGCGGGUCACUGAGCCCGCUGUGACUCAGUCCCUGCCCUUUGUACACACCGCCCGUCGCUACUACCGAUUGGGUGUACCAGUGAGAGCCUUGGACUGGCGUCCGUUGUUGCUCGC
This 626-nucleotide ribosomal RNA is filed under the name Eulimnogammarus inconspicuous. RNAcentral describes it as "bacterial SSU rRNA". It matches the Rfam family "Eukaryotic small subunit ribosomal RNA", at positions 1255 to 1734 of the family's 1831-position model. Lineage: Eukaryota; Metazoa; Arthropoda; Malacostraca; Amphipoda; Eulimnogammaridae. The record is from RNAcentral.